CAACAGCUAGAGUUUGAUCCUGGCUCAGGAUAAACGCUGGCGGCGUGCCUAAUACAUGCAAGUUGAGCGCAUAGUUUACUAUGAGCAGCGAACGGGUGAGUAAUACAUAAGCAACCUACCUACAAAGACCGGGAUAACAUCUGGAAACGGGUACUAAAACCGGAUAGGUAACUGUAAGGCAUCUUAUAGUUAUUAAAGGUUCAAAACACUAGUAGAUGGGCUUAUGGCGCAUUAGUUAGUUGGUGAGGUAACGGCCCACCAAGACGAUGAUGCGUAGCCGGCCUGAGAGGGUGAUCGGCCACAUUGGGACUGAGACACGGCCCAGACUCCUACGGGAGGCAGCAGUAGGGAAUUUUCGGCAAUGGAGGGAACUCUGACCGAGCAACGCCGCGUGAGUGAAGAAGGUCUUCGGAUUGUAAAGCUCUGUUGUAGACAAGGAAUGGUACAGAUAGACUCUGUAAGUGACCAGUCUACCAGAAAGCCACGGCUAACUACGUGCC
This 500-nucleotide ribosomal RNA is filed under the name uncultured bacterium. RNAcentral's name for it is "bacterial SSU rRNA". It matches the Rfam family "Bacterial small subunit ribosomal RNA", at positions 1 to 509 of the family's 1533-position model. The record is from RNAcentral.